Molecule: small nucleolar RNA, 209 nt
Filed under: Amborella trichopoda
Lineage: Eukaryota; Viridiplantae; Streptophyta; Magnoliopsida; Amborellales; Amborellaceae
Description: snoRNA Plant_U3
Source: RNAcentral
ACACCUUACUUGAACAAGAUCUAUUUUGUUAGUUGUACAUCCGUUUUCAGUAACACAACAAAGAAACACAACAAUCUAGAAAAUGACAUGAUGCCAUGUGGCCAGAGUGCGGAUUUGACGUUGGGUCCCACAUGUCUCCUUCAGCCUCAGAGGGUUGCUUUCAUCAAUCCAACGGCUAAUGAGAUAGCCACUUGACCGUUUGAUAAAUC